Mus musculus (house mouse) is the source of this 423-nucleotide long non-coding RNA. RefSeq annotates it as predicted gene, 46356. The transcript has 3 exons. Lineage: Eukaryota; Metazoa; Chordata; Mammalia; Rodentia; Muridae. The record is from RefSeq and is a predicted model, not a curated record.
UAAUUUUAAAGAGACAAGAUAAUAGAAAGAAAUAGACCACUUAAAAAUGAGUGCACUCUUUCCCUACCCCCUACUUCUUCUGACACAAUCACCUUAAUGAGGUGAGGCUGCUGGCAAGUGGUAGCCCCACAGGCACCUGAGGGCUGAGGAGUUCUGAGGCAGAACAACUGCAGAAGGCUUGUUCCACGGAGGACGGUGCUCUCUGCCCACUGUGCUAUCACGACGUAUCGUGUGAAGCUUAGCUGUGAAUUCCUGCCUUGUGGCGGAGGGUACGCAAAAUCAACACUGCGCAUGCGCUUCAGGACCGGCUCCAGCCACCCAAGUCCCAGGCGUGUUGGAUGUCCUCGAGGAAGCUGCUUUGAAAUUCUAGUUUUUAAAGCAAGCUUUUCAGAGCAGCAUGAUGCAUGUGAGUAUGUGGACCUU